This 1044-nucleotide long non-coding RNA is filed under the name Canis lupus familiaris (dog). Its description in RNAcentral is "lncRNA (ENSCAFG00040022019.1)". The record is from RNAcentral. Lineage: Eukaryota; Metazoa; Chordata; Mammalia; Carnivora; Canidae.
CCCGACGGCAGAGGGCAGCGGCUCUCGGGCCGCACUUCUCACACCGGGAGCCGGGCCAGACCCGCCUUGCACGCACGCCCGGAGCUCCCGCCUCCUUGGCUCCUUGCUCCCGGGCCGGCUGCUGGACGGGGCGGCACGGAGUGGGGGGGGGGCAGCCUGAGCGCAGUGCUCCCGGGAUCACCUUGGUCUGAAGCCCUUGGCCUUGCCUCCCACGCCGAGGGCAAGAGAACAGGAGAGCCGGGCCUCCCACACCUUCCCCAGGGGACGGAAGCUAAAGACGCUGGGCGGCCGCGGGCUUCCCCGAGACACUGCCCGCCGGUGGGAAGCACAUCUGACCCUAGGGAGGCAGCUCCCCAGCCUGCAGGCGUGACCCUGCAAGCAGCGGAGCUGGAGAGGAGAGGCGGGAGAGGACAGGGUGGCCAGGGAGAGGCUGGCAGGAGGAGGCCAGAGCCAGAGGCAGGAGGGCCCUGGCUACUGUUCCCAGAUGCUCCCUCGGGGCCGCGAGCCGCGAGCCUCUACAGGCCCGAUCCCCGCAGCAGCCGCAACAGCCACACCCCGGACGUCCUGGCCAAGCACACGUCAGUGUGGGUCAGUGCGGGGCGGCGUGCGGGAAGGCGCCGCGCUCCCCUAUGCACAGAGCGUCACCACCACCUGGAAUCAGUGUUUCUGUCCAGGACCACCACAGCCUGGCUUGUCUGCGCUGCUGCAGGUUUAAGAAAGGGACUUGGAGGGGGGGUGUCUGGGGGUUCCCCUUGCUCCUACCCAGAAAGGCAGGCCUCAGGGGCAGCCAAAGCGCCUGGCCUCGGAGCCCGCUGCGCCCUUCCUGCCCCGCUGCCCGGGCCCCUGGGCCUGCAGAGGAAGCCGCAGCCACAGCUGCAGCCGCGGUGGGGCAGGAGGCAGGACCCGGGCAGGGCGGAGCGGCGAGUGGUGUCCUGUCCACCAGGCAUCCUGGCGCCUGCAGAGUGGAAGCUCACAAGACUCAGCAGCAAGUCCUUAGACAGAGACUUGGGGGCUGAGAUGACACUUCUGGUGUCACAGUGGUGA